CCAAGCAGCCGCGGUAAUUCCAGCUCCAAUAGCGUAUAUUAAAGUUGUUGCAGUUAGAACGCUCGUAGUCGGAUUUCGGGGCGUUCCGACCGGUCUGCCGAUGGGUACGCACUGGUCGGCGCGUCCUUCCUUCCGGAGACCGUGCCUACUCUUAACUGAGCGGGGGCGGGAGACGGAUCGUUUACUUUGAAAAAAUCAGAGUGUUUCAAGCAGGCAGCUCGCUCUUGCAUGGAUUAGCAUGGGAUAAUGAAAUAGGACUUUGGUGCUAUUUUGUUGGUUUCGAACACCGAAGUAAUGAUUAACAGGGACAGUCAGGGGCACUCGUAUUCCGCCGAGAGAGGUGAAAUUCUCAGACCAGCGGAAGACGAACUACUGCGAAAGCAUUUGCCAGGGAUGUUUUCACUGAUCAAGAACGAAAGUUAGGGGAUCGAAGAGGAUCAGAUACCCUCGUAGUCUUAACCAUAAACCAUGCCGACUAGGGAUUGGGGGAUGUUCAAUUAUCGACUCCCUCAGCACCUUACGGGAAACUAAAGUCUUUGGGUUCCGGGGGGAGUAUGGUCGCAAGGCUGAAACUUAAAGGAAUUGACGGAAGGGCACCACCAGGUGUGGAGCCUGCGGCUUAAUUUGACUCAACACGGGGAAACUUACCAGGUCCAGACAUUGUGAGGAUUGACAGAUUGAGAGCUCUUUCUUGAUUCGAUGGGUGGUGGUGCAUGGCCGUUCUUAGUUGGUGGAGUGAUUUGUCUGGUUAAUUCCGUUAACGAACGAGACCUUAGCCUGCUAAAUAGUGACGCGAACACUUCGUUCGCGGGCCACUUCUUAGAGGGACAACUUGUCUUCAACAAGUGGAAGUUUGAGGCAAUAACAGGUCUGUGAUGCCC
RNAcentral lists this ribosomal RNA (881 nucleotides) under uncultured eukaryote. RNAcentral's name for it is "SSU rRNA". It matches the Rfam family "Eukaryotic small subunit ribosomal RNA", at positions 566 to 1472 of the family's 1831-position model. The record is from RNAcentral.